GAUCAUUAAUGAAUUAUCUUGGAAACAAGAGAAAUUCUCACCAUUGUGAACUUAACUGUUGCUUCGGUGAAUUCGUUAGAUUAUUGAGUCUAUAAGUCUAUCUUAUCUGAAGAAAGAGCAUUCUAUUAAGUUAGAUGUGAUCGCCUUCGAAAAUUACUUUAAGACGAGAUAAUUUGACCUUGGGAUCAUGUUGAAAUUAUCUUGCUUCGAAACAAGUACUCUUUGUGAGGAACGGCUCCAAGUGAUAAUUUUAAGAGUAUCUGGGUUCAUCGAAUUUUUUUAACCUGAUUAUAUUUGAAGUCUGAGAAAUUUGAAAUUAAACAAAACUUUCAACAACGGAUCUCUUGGUUCUGGCAUCGAUGAAGAACGCAGCGAAAUGCGAUAAGUAAUGUGAAUUGCAGAAUUCAGUGAAUCAUCGAAUCUUUGAACGCACAUUGCACUCUUUGGUAUUCCGAAGAGUAUAUUUAUUUGAGCGUCAUUUAACUCUCAAGUUAUUCUUAUUUUACUUUGAAGAUGAUUUUAUUAUCGUUGGAUAGCAUGAUAAGUUGUACUUGGUCUUGGAGAAUUUCAUUUGAAAUCUCUUAAAAUAAUUGGUGAUUUAAAAUAAGAUCAAAAGUCGCAAUGUCAUCUUAUGAUUGAACUUUUAAGUCCUCCAGAUAAACUUUGGUUGUUAACAUAAGGAAGACAAUUUUGAAAGUUGAUCUUAUUAAGUUAAGACAACAAUCUUNAGAGUCGAAAUUAUCUUAACCCAAAAUCUAAACUUGACCUCAAAUUAAAUAAGGUUACCCGCUGAACUUAAGCAUAUCAAUAAGCGGAGGAAAAGAAACCAACAGGGAUUACCUCAGUAACGGCGAGUGAAGCGGUAAAAGCUCAAAUUUGAAAUCUCCCAUCAGGGCGAAUUGUAAUUUGAAGAGGAUGUUUUUGAGGGACGAUUAAUCAAAUUACUUUGGAAUAAGUACUCAUAGAGGGUGAGAAUCCCGUCUAAGAUUAAUCUAAACUCAGUUAAAAACUCCUUCGAAGAGUCGAGUUGUUUGGGAAUGCAGCUCUAAAUUGGAGGUAUAUUUCUUCUAAAGCUAAAUAUUGGCCAGAGACCGAUAGCGCACAAGUAGAGUGAUCGAAAGAUGAAAAGCACUUUGAAAAGAGAGUUAAAAAGUACGUGAAAUUGUUGAAAGGGAAACGUUUAUUAAAAGACUUUUUAACUAUGUUCACCAUGUCUUUGACUUGGGCAUUCAUACGUUACGAAGACCAACAUCAGUUUAUGAAGUUAGACAAAAUUAAGGUGGAAUGUACGCUUGCUCGCAAUGUGUUAUACGCCACUUAAAUAAUUUGACCUGAGUAGA
This 1340-nucleotide ribosomal RNA is filed under the name uncultured fungus. Its description in RNAcentral is "eukaryotic LSU rRNA". The stretch from base 763 to 1340 matches the Rfam family "Eukaryotic large subunit ribosomal RNA", at positions 1 to 590 of the family's 3401-position model. Lineage: Eukaryota; Fungi. The record is from RNAcentral.